ACGCCGAGUUGCGCAACAUUUAUGAAACAUGUUCGACAUAAACCAAUGAAAUGGGUGGACACUGCCUGCCCAUACAGUAGAAUAAGGCUGCUUUAGGGAACGUCUCCAGAAAAGGUCAGCGGUCCACUUUACAUACACAGAUAUCUCCGGAAAUGAUAAGACAAAGCGGCGAGAAGAGGGCUGACUUGGGAAGAAGCCCCCCCCCCACCAACCAUCCCUCCUAAACCCCCUCCUCGGGGACUACAGACCUCCACACUUGUCAGCUGUCUCCCACAGGUUCAACCAGUGGACAUUAGCACAGCGGCAGUGGGAUGGGCCGCGGUGAUUAUAAUACCUUCCAUUUGAUUAUGGCUUCAUCAUUAUUGUUUAUACUAUG
This is a long non-coding RNA of Nerophis ophidion (straightnose pipefish), 376 nucleotides long. RefSeq lists it as uncharacterized. Lineage: Eukaryota; Metazoa; Chordata; Actinopteri; Syngnathiformes; Syngnathidae. The transcript is spliced from 3 exons. The record is from RefSeq and is a predicted model, not a curated record.